This 449-nucleotide ribosomal RNA is filed under the name uncultured bacterium. RNAcentral's name for it is "partial 16S ribosomal RNA". It matches the Rfam family "Bacterial small subunit ribosomal RNA", at positions 29 to 523 of the family's 1533-position model. The record is from RNAcentral.
AACGAACGCUGGCGGCAUGCCUAACACAUGCAAGUCGAACGAAGCCUUCGGGCUUAGUGGCGCACGGGUGCGUAACGCGUGGGAAUCUGCCCUUUGGUUCGGAAUAACAGUUGGAAACGACUGCUAAUACCGGAUGAUGACGAAAGUCCAAAGAUUUAUCGCCAGAGGAUGAGCCCGCGUAGGAUUAGCUAGUUGGUGUGGUAAAGGCGCACCAAGGCGACGAUCCUUAGCUGGUCUGAGAGGAUGAUCAGCCACACUGGGACUGAGACACGGCCCAGACUCGUGCGGGAGGCAGCAGUGGGGAAUAUUGGACAAUGGGCGAAAGCCUGAUCCAGCAGUGCCGCGUGAGUGAUGAAGGCCCUAGGGUUGUAAAGCUCUUUUACCCGGGAUGAUAAUGACAGUACCGGGAGAAUAAGCCCCGGCUAACUCCGUGCCAGCCGCCGCCGUAA